RNAcentral lists this long non-coding RNA (703 nucleotides) under Ursus maritimus (polar bear). RNAcentral's name for it is "lncRNA (ENSUMAG00000025096.1)". Lineage: Eukaryota; Metazoa; Chordata; Mammalia; Carnivora; Ursidae. The record is from RNAcentral.
AAUGAGGAGAAAAGAUGAAAAGCAAAAACAGUAUUCAGCAUUGGUUUUGCAGUGGACGUUACAGAGGAAGCGCCCCCCCUGCGCAGUGAGAGGGGCAGCCAAGCUCCUUCCCCGGGAUGACACUGGGCGUCCCAGCGCAAGCCCCCGCAGCUUUGACCUGUGCUGCAAGCAGCGAGCAGCAGCGGUGCUUUACCCUCACUUAUUUUGUGCGCCCGUUAGCAAGAUGUGUCCUAAGGCCAUUUCGACUUACAAAAGGUUUCAUAGGAACGCUUGACUUCUGCAUGGCUGGGGACACCUGUAUAUCUGAUAAGGGAUUGUAUCCAGAUUAGAGAAAUUCCUGGAAGUUUUUGAGCGAGAUCUCCAGGCAGGCACUGUCCUUGAGGUGAUGAGGUAGGAGUUCAAGGCAACAUUUCAAGAGGACAAUGGGGGAACUUCUAGGCGAGCUCAAUACUCUUGGGGGGGGGCAUGCAGGUAGGAGACAACAACUCAACAAAACAACAACAACAAUUAAAAAAUGGGCAAAGGACUUGAGUAGACAUUUCUUCAAAGAGGUGUAUAAAUGGCCCAUAAACACAUGAAAACAUGCUCAACAUCACUAAUCACUGGGGACGUGCGAAUGGAAACCAGAGCGAGCUAGCAGUCCGCAUCUAGUAGCUUGGCUGCCAUCAAAUACAUACAGAAAUAAACCAAAUCAAAAACCCCA